RNAcentral lists this microRNA precursor (135 nucleotides) under Oryza brachyantha (malo sina). RNAcentral describes it as "MIR812 microRNA precursor family". It matches the Rfam family "MIR812 microRNA precursor family", at positions 35 to 171 of the family's 205-position model. Lineage: Eukaryota; Viridiplantae; Streptophyta; Magnoliopsida; Poales; Poaceae. The record is from Rfam by way of RNAcentral.
UGAUCAUUCAUCUUAUUUGAAUUUUUUUAUGAUUAAUAUUUUUGUUGUUAUUAGAUGAUAAAACAUGAAUAGUACUCUAAGCGUGACUAAUUUUUUUAAGUUUUUCCAUAAAAUUUUAAAUAAGACCGAUGGUCA